GGUGUUGGCCCUCACCCUUGUAGUCUUGUUUGGUGGUUUCUCAUCAGCUCAAGCCACUUCUCCUGCAAAGAUUGUUAGUGGGUUUCUCUCAAGUGUUGCCUCUGUUCUGAUGAAAUGGUUGUGGUCACUCAAAGCUACAGCUACCACCAAAACAGCAAUUACUGGCCGUCCGAUGAUGAAGUUUGAGAGUGGGUAUAUUGUUGAGACUGUGUUUGAUGGAAGUAAGCUUGGGUAG
Molecule: non-coding RNA, 235 nt
Organism: Camellia sinensis
Lineage: Eukaryota; Viridiplantae; Streptophyta; Magnoliopsida; Ericales; Theaceae
Source: RefSeq, a predicted model, not a curated record